This 668-nucleotide ribosomal RNA is filed under the name Salmonella enterica. Its description in RNAcentral is "partial 23S ribosomal RNA". It matches the Rfam family "Bacterial large subunit ribosomal RNA", at positions 2135 to 2802 of the family's 2925-position model. Lineage: Bacteria; Pseudomonadati; Pseudomonadota; Gammaproteobacteria; Enterobacterales; Enterobacteriaceae. The record is from RNAcentral.
UGUGUAGGAUAGGUGGGAGGCUUUGAAGUGUGGACGCCAGUCUGCAUGGAGCCGACCUUGAAAUACCACCCUUUAAUGUUUGAUGUUCUAACGUGGACCCGUGAUCCGGGUUGCGGACAGUGUCUGGUGGGUAGUUUGACUGGGGCGGUCUCCUCCUAAAGAGUAACGGAGGAGCACGAAGGUUGGCUAAUCCUGGUCGGACAUCAGGAGGUUAGUGCAAUGGCAUAAGCCAGCUUGACUGCGAGCGUGACGGCGCGAGCAGGUGCGAAAGCAGGUCAUAGUGAUCCGGUGGUUCUGAAUGGAAGGGCCAUCGCUCAACGGAUAAAAGGUACUCCGGGGAUAACAGGCUGAUACCGCCCAAGAGUUCAUAUCGACGGCGGUGUUUGGCACCUCGAUGUCGGCUCAUCACAUCCUGGGGCUGAAGUAGGUCCCAAGGGUAUGGCUGUUCGCCAUUUAAAGUGGUACGCGAGCUGGGUUUAGAACGUCGUGAGACAGUUCGGUCCCUAUCUGCCGUGGGCGCUGGAGAACUGAGGGGGGCUGCUCCUAGUACGAGAGGACCGGAGUGGACGCAUCACUGGUGUUCGGGUUGUCAUGCCAAUGGCACUGCCCGGUAGCUAAAUGCGGAAGAGAUAAGUGCUGAAAGCAUCUAAGCACGAAACUUGCCCCGA